Molecule: unclassified non-coding RNA, 388 nt
Filed under: soil metagenome
Description: partial contains 5.8S ribosomal RNA, internal transcribed spacer 2, and large subunit ribosomal RNA
Rfam family: 5.8S ribosomal RNA (bases 1-120)
Source: RNAcentral
GAUGAAGAACGCAGCGAAAUGCGAUAAGUAAUGUGAAUUGCAGAAUUCAGUGAAUCAUCGAAUCUUUGAACGCACCUUGCACCCUUUGGCAUUCCGAAGGGUAUGCUCGUUUGAGUGUCAUUGUACUCUCACACUCUCCGAUCCUAUGGAUUCGGGGAGCGGUGGACUUGGGUGUUGCUGCCUUUCCUUGUGGCUCACCUCAAAUGUGUCAGUGCACCUCUUGGUUGGACAUAGUACGGCGUGAUAAGUGUCUUCGCCGGCGCCUCUGUAAGGAGGGUGGCCGAUCGGGAGCUCUGUGCUUCAAACCGUCUUCGGACAAUCUUUGACAACUUGACCUCAAAUCGAGUAGGACUACCCGCUGAACUUAAGCAUAUCAAUAAGCGGAGGA